This 420-nucleotide small RNA is filed under the name Pan troglodytes (chimpanzee). Its description in RNAcentral is "retained intron". Lineage: Eukaryota; Metazoa; Chordata; Mammalia; Primates; Hominidae. The record is from RNAcentral.
CUUAGGUUCAGAAUUUAACAUUACGCAGCCAGAAGUUGGGUGUAUUAUCUAGCUCACAGAAUGGUCCACCAAAAAGCACUAGUCAAACUCAGUCAUUGACAAUUUGUCAUAACAAAACAACAGUGACCAGUUCUAAAAUCAGCCAACGAGAUCCUUCUCCAGAAAGUAAUAAGAAAGGAGAAAGCCCAAGCCUGGAAUCACGAAGCACAGCUGUCACCCGGACAUCAAGUAUUCACCAGUUAAUAGCACCAGCUUCAUAUUCUCCAAUUCAGCCUCAUUCUCUAAUAAAACAUCAGCAGAUUCCUCUUCAUUCACCACCUUCCAAAGUUUCCCAUCAUCAGCUGAUAUUACAACAGCAGCAACAGCAAAUUCAGCCAAUCACACUUCAGAAUUCAACUCAAGACCCACCCCCAUCCCAGC